UUUCCAUGUUUUUUCCUGACAUACUUCGUUUGUUGAAACUGCUAUCCAUUUUUUCCAAAAUGUCACUAGCUCGUUUCGUCACAACACUUUCAGAACAAUUAAAUUAUGAGUAAAGACCAUUAUGGAAAUGAGGAUUACAUUUGUUAUUUUCAAGUUGGAAAACUUGACAACUAUAUAUUCCUUUGUAAGAUGUAUCAAGCCAGGUGAAGUCUGCGCUUCUUUGUUGCAGUCUAAUGUGCACAUGGAUUGGUUGCAGUCAUCCAGUGAAAGGUGUGAUUAAACUGAGCUGUUGCAUGCAGUCUUUGGUGCCGAUGUUGUCCUGGAGUUUGGGGGAGUUCCAUGCUUUCAGUCUUAUGGAAUCAGCCAUAUCUGAGUUUGACACUGGAUCACGCUGCAUUUUGGUUGCCAAAAUGUUGGACAUCCAGUAGAACUGCAAGAAGCCUUCUUGAAAUGGUUUAUGUUUACGUAGCAGUGAUGUUGCUGUCCAAUAUGGUCUGUUGUUGCAGCCUAUACUGGUGAAAGAUCUUUGCAUCGAGUUAAACUGUUGCUGUUCCUUGGUGUCGGACUGCUGGUGUUGUCGGUGUUGUGCACAAAAGUUACAUCCAGUUUUAAUUGUUAUUUGUGUCUAUACAGUUAACUGUUUACAUGUUGAAAAGGAAGAGAAACGGUUCCUUGGUGUUGAAUCGCUGGUGUUGUGCUACAGAAGUUACAUCCAGUAUUUUGUUUAAUUGCCAUUUGCGUCUAUGAAGUUAACCGUUUAUAUGCUGAGAAUGAAAAAAAAGUAAUACGGGGAAUUUUUACGUUGAACAAAUAAUAAACAUGCCUUCGCGAUUGGGAAAUCAACGAGGAGAUUGGGUGGAGGGCAUUUUUAUUUUCAUUAACUAGAAGUUGUGGUUUGUUUUAAUGAGUUGGUAAUAAAAUCCUUUGUCAAUCACA
Molecule: long non-coding RNA, 936 nt
Organism: Daphnia pulicaria
Lineage: Eukaryota; Metazoa; Arthropoda; Branchiopoda; Diplostraca; Daphniidae
Exons: 4
Source: RefSeq, a predicted model, not a curated record